AUUUCCUCAGGCAGAGGUAGAAAGAAACCUUGUAGAAAUCUAGUAGUGUAUAUUUCAAGAUAUUUGAAGUUGCUCUUGUUAUUAGUGCUCUGAGAUUAUUAUAAAUGUUAUAAUGAGAUUUUUAUAAGUGUUCUGAGAUUCCUUCAGGUACUAUGCACAUGAAGAAAUGUAGUGUACUGCUUUGGAUGGCCCACCAAAAAUGUUUUUACUAGGAAACAAACCCCAGCUAAACAGAGAAGUGGGAGCUGGCUGAGAAGGAUGUCAGGUGAAAUGCAUGAAGAACAGCAAAGUUCAUUGACUGGGAGUGGGAGGAAGCCUCCAUGCAAUGUGUUGGCUGCUGGCUCCUCAGCUGGAAUAGGGGUCUCUUGGACAGUGACAUGUCUAACAGCAGUGAAGACAAAAUGUAAAAUCUAGCUCUUACAGCUACCCCUUACGCCUUACUCAGAGACAAAUAGCUAAAAGUAUAUCACCCUGCAAAGCAAUGAAGUUGGAAACAUCUUUCAAAUGAGGGCAUACACAUGAUCUGAGGAGUUCAUAAUUUUCUACAAAAAGAAUAAUUUGACUUCUUACACCAGCCUUGUAGUUGAUACUAAUUGGCAAAACUCUACCAUCAUCAAGCAAGAGUAAGUAUACUGGUAAAUCAUCAAAGGCAAGACGAGUCCAGCCUAAUAUU
RNAcentral lists this long non-coding RNA (673 nucleotides) under Parus major (Great Tit). Its description in RNAcentral is "lncRNA (ENSPMJG00000017828.1)". Lineage: Eukaryota; Metazoa; Chordata; Aves; Passeriformes; Paridae. The record is from RNAcentral.